This 67-nucleotide microRNA precursor is filed under the name Bombyx mori (domestic silkworm). Its description in RNAcentral is "mir-2774 microRNA precursor family". It matches the Rfam family "mir-2774 microRNA precursor family". Lineage: Eukaryota; Metazoa; Arthropoda; Insecta; Lepidoptera; Bombycidae. The record is from Rfam by way of RNAcentral.
ACAUCAUUUGGACUGUCGGUCUACCGAGCAAUAUCACCCGCCCGGCGUAAGAUCUUCCCUUUAUCGU